This 466-nucleotide ribosomal RNA is filed under the name uncultured bacterium. Its description in RNAcentral is "partial 16S ribosomal RNA". It matches the Rfam family "Bacterial small subunit ribosomal RNA", at positions 28 to 505 of the family's 1533-position model. The record is from RNAcentral.
GACGAACGCUGGCGGCGUGCUUAACACAUGCAAGUCGAACGGAAAGGCCCUGCUUUUGUGGGGUGCUCGAGUGGCGAACGGGUGAGUAACACGUGAGUAACCUGCCCUUGACUUUGGGAUAACUUCAGGAAACUGGGGCUAAUACCGGAUAGGAGCUCCUGCUGCAUGGGGGGGGUUGGAAAGUUUCGGCGGUUGGGGAUGGACUCGCGGCUUAUCAGCUUGUUGGUGGGGUAGUGGCUUACCAAGGCUUUGACGGGUAGCCGGCCUGAGAGGGUGACCGGCCACAGUGGGACGGAGAUCCGGCCCAGACUCCUACGGGAGGCAGCAGUGAGUAAUAUUGCACAAUGGGCGGAAGCCUGAUGCAGCAACGCCGCGUGCGGGAUGACGGCCUUCGGGUUGUAAACCGCUUUCGCCUGUGACGAAGCGUGAGUGACGGUAAUGGGUAAAGAAGCACCGGCUAACUACG